ACGAACGCUGGCGGCGUGCUUAACACAUGCCAGUCGAACGGAAAGGCCCUGCUUUUGUGGGGUGCUCGAGUGGCGAACGGGUGAGUAACACGUGAGUAACCUGCCCCUGACUUUGGGAUAACUUCAGGAAACUGGGGCUAAUACCGGCUAGGAGCUCCUGCUGCAUGGUGGGGGUUGGAAAGUUUCGGCGGUUGGGGAUGGACUCGCGGCUUAUCAGCUUGUUGGUGGGGUAGUGGCUUACCAAGGCUUUGACGGGUAGCCGGCCUGAGAGGGUGACCGGCCACAUUGGGCCUGAGAUACGGCCCAGACUCCUACGGGAGGCAGCAGUGGGGAAUAUUGCACAAUGGGCGGAAGCCUGAUGCAGCAGCGCCGCGUGCGGGAUGACGGCCUUCGGGUUGUAAACCGCUUUCGCCUGUGACGAAGCGUGAGUGACGGUAAUGGGUAAAGAAGCACCGGCUAACUACGUG
Molecule: ribosomal RNA, 467 nt
Filed under: uncultured bacterium
Lineage: Bacteria
Description: partial 16S ribosomal RNA
Rfam family: Bacterial small subunit ribosomal RNA
Source: RNAcentral